CUUGCUGUAAUGAUUAGUGGGCAAACGAAUACUACUUCAUGGAAGUGGAUUGCAAGGGUUUUGAAGAUAGAUCUUGUUACAUAAGGCAGUUGAUGGAGGCUGUAUGUCAGAGUUGAAAGCCCCUCCAGAUUCAGCUAUUGCCCUGAGGUUUGGAACCAUCCCAAAUGCUGACCCUCCACAACUCUGCCUCUGGAUCAGCACAGGAACAUGGCAUUGACACUUGGGCUGCCAGCCUGCUGUAAUACAGCAUUCUGAGCCUUUCUUCUGGCAGUCUUUGCUCUAAGCUCUUCAAGUAGCAGAGCCCAAAAUCCAAAGCAAGUUUCACAUAGGUACAGUUAAACAUUUAUAUCUGGUUUACAGUAAAGUUACAGAGGAGUUCCAAGUUGUUUCAGUGAAGACCCCUUUUUUUGUGUUUGUACUUUUUUGGUAAGGAAACUCCAAUAACUAGUAAACAGACAAUGGUUUCCAGUUCUCUUCACAGUCACUGGGGAGAUGAUUCACAUGAACUUGGAGAGAGUAUCACAUUGCAGUGGUAGGACACACUGGAUAUGUUUACGUUGUAGUUGUCAGACCAAGCAGGUUUUCAGCUAAUUUAUUGAUUGUAAGUUGUCCAAGCUCUUUGCAAAUGCAGUGAGUUUCCCAGACCUUGAGGCAGAGGGUCCAGCACAGCAGUGUUUUGCUACAGGAUAAAAGGAUUGACAACUCAGAAGCAGAGCAAGCAUUAACAAGGGGAGGACAGGAAUAAGCAGGAAACCACGGCAUGAAAGGCAGGAUUUCUGAGUGGCAGAACAGUGCCCCACACCUGCCCAGCACAGGCUGUUUCCUGCAUUGUCACAUGUGAGCCACUGCAGAGGCUCAAGGAACGUGUCUGCACAGCCCCUCCUUGCCUGUUCUUUGCAAACCAUGAGUCUCACAGGAAUGCAUUGUGCUGCUUCCUGCCCUGGUAAAUGUGUGCCAUUAAACUUCAGUACCCUCUGUUGGCAAGAAAUAGAUGAAUUUUCUGCAGGGAAACACUGCUUCUGAGGAGCCAUCUUGAGGAUUGAUACUUUACCUGGUGACCACCUCAAAAGAAACACUUGCCUUUGAUUUGUUGAGAUUCCAAAUGUGGGCCAAACAGAUGACUUCAGCUCCAGAGCAAAAAGAUGUCAAAUUCUUUUUUUGUAUAGUCUUUGCAAAGACUAAAAGCUGUCCAUGGGGGAAGAACUGAGGAUUU
RNAcentral lists this long non-coding RNA (1213 nucleotides) under Taeniopygia guttata (zebra finch). RNAcentral describes it as "lncRNA (ENSTGUG00000024455.1)". The record is from RNAcentral. Lineage: Eukaryota; Metazoa; Chordata; Aves; Passeriformes; Estrildidae.